CCAUUUCUCUGCUGUUCUUUUGGCUGGAUCCUCCCCCAUGUGUUGGUUUCAUACUCCAGUUGCCACCAAAAGGACUGGAUAAUUCCAGCACAUGGAAUUACUCAACCACAUCCAAGGUCGACUCACUUCUGCACCUUGGGCUUGAGUGGCAGGAGACGGAACCACUGUGCUAAAUCCUGGGCCCUCUUUGUGUGUGUAUUGCUGGGGAUUGAACCCAGGGUCUUGUGCGUGCAAGGCCACUGAUACAGUCGCGCCAGAAGGACCGGCACUGGGGACUGGACACACUCACAUUGCGCCCUUGAUUUGGGGGGACUGGAUUAACAAAGGCGUGAAUCUCAGCUCCCAACACUCCUGGGACAGGGCUGAUAAUGGUACCACUCCACUUCAUCUGCAAAACGGUACUUACUAAGGCCACUUAUCCCCCGGCCCCGGAACCGGGAAUCAAACUCAGGGUCUUGCGCUUGCCCGGCAGGCGCGGCGCCGCUGAGCUACAUCCCAGGCCCCACUAAAGCUACUUUUGUCACGACCCAAACUAGAUGAGAUUUAGUAAUUUAGCACAACAUGUAGAUUUAACAAUUUUCUUGUUUUCUCCAUGUCUCUGUCACUUUCCAACUCCUCCUAAACGUUCUUUCGGCUUGCAAACGGGACAGAACUUGGCAAAGGCAGGUGUGACGAGAGGCCUGCGCCGGGUCUAGGGGUGGGGGCGAGACUCGGACACUGACAGCCGCAGCCUUUGGGGAACCCGGGCGCGGGAGUCGCCAUAAGCUUCACUCCCAGACUUCGCCCCGAGACGGAGGCCGCCGCCACACUCUCCCUCUGAGGAGAGGGCGGAGGCACAAGAUGGCGGACGGCCGAGUGGGCGGCCGCGGCCGCUUCCGGACUUCAGAGCCG
Molecule: long non-coding RNA, 891 nt
Filed under: Heterocephalus glaber (naked mole-rat)
Lineage: Eukaryota; Metazoa; Chordata; Mammalia; Rodentia; Bathyergidae
Description: lncRNA (ENSHGLG00100047848.1)
Source: RNAcentral